UACGAACUGUGCAAACGUUAUUCGGAAUCACUGGGCUUAAAGGGUGCGUAGGCGGCUGUCUAAGCAGGGUGUGAAAGCCCCCGGCUCAACCGGGGAAUUGCGUUCUGAACUGGACGGCUGGAGUGGGAUAGAGGUGUGCGGAACUUCCGGUGGAGCGGUGAAAUGUGUUGAUAUCGGAAGGAACGCCGGUGGCGAAAGCGGCACACUGGGUCUCAACUGACGCUGAGGCACGAAAGCGUGGGGAGCAAACAGG
Molecule: ribosomal RNA, 253 nt
Filed under: uncultured bacterium
Lineage: Bacteria
Description: partial 16S ribosomal RNA
Rfam family: Bacterial small subunit ribosomal RNA
Source: RNAcentral